UAAAAUAAUAUAAAUAAAAAUAAUUUAAAUAUGCCACUAAAUUUUUUCUAUUUACUGAAAAGGAAAAUUUAAUUUAAUUAAAAAGAAAAUUUAAUGUACCUUUUGCAUUAGGGGUUUUCAAAAUAAUAUAAAAUUUUAAUUUUCUCGAAAUAUUUUGAUCUAAAAUUUAAUUUUUUUUAGUAUUUCAACAUUAAAAUAAAAUAAAUUUUAGAGGUGAAAUUCUUAUCAAAAAAUAAUAUAUCUAGUUUUAAAAAAUUAACUUAAUGUUACUUUGUAAUUUAUUUUAUUUAAAAAAUUUACAAAGAACUAAAAUUUAUUAAUUAAAGGAUUAACAUUUUCCUAUUUAUUUUUAUAAAUAAAUUUAUUUUCUUAAAAAUAAAAAUUUUAUUUUUAAAAUAAUUUUAAUUUAAAAAUUAAGUGAAAAUGAAAAUAUAAGUAAAAGUUAAUUUAUUAUUUUGCUUUAAUAAAUAAAUAAAAAUUUAUAUUGAUUUAAUUUUUAAGAACUAGGCAAAUAUUUUUUCUGACUGUUUACUAAAAACAACGCAUUUAGAAAAAAAUAAUAAAUGCAAAUCCUGCUCAAUGAAAUUUUUAAAUUGCUGUAGUAUUUUGACUAUACAAAGGUAUUGAAAUAAGAUUUUAAUUGAAUGCUAAGAGAAUGGAAUUUCAGAAAAUAACUUUUUUAAUAUUAAAAAUUAAAAUUUUUUUAAUUUGUGCAGAAACAAUUAUAACAAUUAAGGACAAGAAGACCCUAAGAAUUUAUAAAUUUAAUUAAUAUUUUUUUAUGCUAAUUAAAUUUUAACUGGGGCGGUUAAGAAAUAUUAAAAACUUUUUGAAAUAAUAUGACCCAUUAAUAAUGACUAUAUGAAAAAAUACUCUAGGGAUAACAGCGUUAUAUUUUUUGAUAGAUCAUAUUGACAAAAAAGUUUGCGACCUCGAUGUUGGAUUAGGAUACUAUUUUAGUGAAGAUACUAAAAUUAGAAGUUUGUUCAACUUUUAAAUUCCUACAUGAUCUGAGUUUAGACCGAUGAGAAUCAGGUUGGAUUCUAUCUUAAUAAUAAAUAAAAUUUAAAUUAGUACGAAAGGAAUAUUUAGAUGUAAUUAUUAGGAUAAACAACUUUAUU
Molecule: ribosomal RNA, 1121 nt
Filed under: Rhipicephalus decoloratus
Lineage: Eukaryota; Metazoa; Arthropoda; Arachnida; Ixodida; Ixodidae
Description: 16S ribosomal RNA
Rfam family: Archaeal large subunit ribosomal RNA (bases 880-1038)
Source: RNAcentral